Cyprinus carpio (common carp) is the source of this 1681-nucleotide long non-coding RNA. The record is from Ensembl. NCBI's taxonomy places the organism in Eukaryota, Metazoa, Chordata, Actinopteri, Cypriniformes, Cyprinidae.
AGACACAAACAACAUGUUUAAUGUGGGAGCUUCGCUCUAGUGUUUUUCAGGGUACAUGCGUCUCUUUCAGAAUCUUAUGAGAGGUGAACCUGUUGCGAUACGACAGAGAAAACACGGAAUUUAGGCUUCGAAAGUCAAGGUGUCAUGGGGUCAUGGAUGCUGGUUCUGUGUACCACAGUCACUCUGAUGCCUGUGUGUCUUCAUGGAGCAAUAUCAGUCCGCUUUAAGACCGGACGGCCUCUCUAUGUGGCACUCGGCCGAACUCUUGUUUUGGAAGUCGAAUUCAAGAAGGACUCGGACGACAAAAUAGACAUGGUGACGUGGGACCGCGAGAGAGGAAAUGUCACUGUCAGACUGUCACAUGGAAACAGAAUAUCUUUGGAGAACGGAGAUGCACUUCUGCGGGUCACUGAUGUUGCAGAAGGGGACCUUGCGACCUACAAAGUCACCGUUACAGACAGUAACGGAUACCAGCAGCAAGACUCCAUAGAAGUACAAAAGAUAGUGGAAUCUCCAAAGGCGUCAAUUACACGUGUGCUGGAUUGUGUUGUGGAUAAUCAUGGCAUGACUCAGUGGGACAGCCCUCAGUUUUCAUGGCUGGUUGAUGGUGUUACAGUAACCAAUCAAUCCGCCCUGUUAACUAAUGGCAGUAGACUAGAUAUCUCUGGGAUUAAGGGUGUUAACUACACCUGCAUCAUCAGCAGCAGUCUGGGGACACUCACAACACAUUAUGAAAUGCCAAAAGGUAUUGUUCAAUAUCAAGAAUGUGUCAUUUUUUAAUGUUUGAAAGUGAAAGUCGUGACAUUUGCCAAGUAUGGUAACCCAUACUCGGAAUUGUUGCUCUGCAUUUAACCCAUCCAAGUGCACACACACAGCAGUGAGAAGUGAACACACCGUGAACACACACCCGGAGCAGUGGGCAGCUAUAUCCAGCGCCUGGGGAGCAACUGGGGGUUCAGUGCCUUGCUCAAGGUCACUUCAGUCAUGGGUGUUGAGGGUGGAAGAGAGCACUGUUCAUUCACUCCCUCCCACCUACAACUCCUGCCAGCACCGAGACUCCAACCUGUGACCUUUGGGUUACAAGUCCAACUCUCUAACCAUUAGGCCACAGCUGCCCUAUUUAGAAGAAAAAAGUCACUUUUGACUUCAAAAUGUUCACCACACAAUGCAAAAACAAUUAAAAAUAGAAAAAAAGGCAACACUUUACAAUAACAUCCCAUUAGUUAACUUUAGUUAAAGGAAUAUUUAACCCAAAAAUUAAAAUUUGCAGAACAUGUCCUCACUCUCAGGCCAUCCAAGAUCAGAUUUGGAGAAAUGUAGCAUUGCAUCACAUGCUCUGCAGUGAAUGGGUGCCGUCAGAAUGAGAGUCUGAUAAAAACAUCACAAUAAUCCACAGCACUCCAGUCCAUCAGUUAACAUCUGGAGAAGAAAAGGUGCAUGUUUGUAAGAAACAAAUGCAUCAAGAUGUUUUUAAUUUCAAACCAUUCCUUCUGGAUAAAUAUGAGUCAAUACACACAUGACACAGCGCUGCCCACGUGGCUAUUGCUCCUAUAACAGCUCAUUUUUAGCAGUUCUUUUGUCUUUGGGUUGUUAUAUUUCUCACAGAUUUCUGCUCGUUUUAAAUCAGAUACAGAUAAAGUAGCACAAUAAAGAUUUCAGUCAUAUGAAUGCGUGUGUGAAU